RNAcentral lists this small nuclear RNA (106 nucleotides) under Tupaia belangeri chinensis (Chinese tree shrew). Lineage: Eukaryota; Metazoa; Chordata; Mammalia; Scandentia; Tupaiidae. The record is from RNAcentral.
GUGCUCGCUUUGGCAGCACAUAUACUAAAAUUAGAACAAUAUAGAGAAGAUUAGCAUGCCCCUGCGCAAGGAUGACACACAAAUUCGUGAAGCGUUCCAUAUUUUU